GCAACUAAGCGGUAAGACCACUGUGGGUUCCUCUGGUGUUCCCUUCCAUAGGUUAGCUAAGUCAGAGGGCAACGCACCCACAGGGCACGCUCUUUUU
Molecule: non-coding RNA, 97 nt
Filed under: unclassified sequences
Description: DUF3800-V RNA
Rfam family: DUF3800-V RNA
Source: Rfam by way of RNAcentral